RNAcentral lists this long non-coding RNA (790 nucleotides) under Homo sapiens (human). Its description in RNAcentral is "HSALNT0394428". Lineage: Eukaryota; Metazoa; Chordata; Mammalia; Primates; Hominidae. The record is from RNAcentral.
AAAGCCAUGUGCAUUUACUUAAUUAAUUAUGGGAUGUCCUUGGGUGGGUUUCCUGCAUUCCCUUUCCGCACUUGGGGGGAAAGGUGUGGGGGUAAGGAAGGAUUACAGAGUGGAGGAUCAAGCAGGAUGGGUUCAAGAACCACAGUGAAUCCUUCCAGAAACGGCGUCGUAUCUAAAUUGGGUUGCAGUUUUAUAGUGUGUGUGUGACCAUUUAUCUUUCAUUUCGGGAGUCGUAGUUAGCUCUUAACCACCAAGCUCGGGCGGCUCAGUAUGUCACGGCACCGUCCUAAUCCCACCCUGGAUCAGCGUAACAGCGCACAUCGGAAAUGUAAGCUUCGCAAAUAAAUCCAUUUUCACGUACUCGAGUCGUAUAACAGAAAAUUUCCAGUUAAACCACAUUGUUAAAUUAAAGGUUGCAGCCCAUAUUCAAAAGCCCAUCCGCAAGCUCUGGGGUUCUGCUGAAGAGGCACUUACAGUAGUUCAGAGAACGAUGCAGUGAAGUAAAAAUGAAUCAACUUUUAGAAACCACACAAAAAGCUUCGUCUUUGCAACUGUGGAAGUCAAGGCCAGAAAUCACUCACUAUAUCAUCUGAUAUUCCUCUGAUCGUUAUACCUAUUCUCAGUGUUAAGGAAAUGAGACCAGUUGAAACGUCCACAUUAAAAUAAGAAGAAGGAGAGAAGGUUUUCUAAUUGCAGUUAAUGUCAUCGUUAAAUAAAGAAUGCCAUAAAGGAACGAGAUCAGCAGUGACCUUCUGCACAGUUUCCAAAGCCUCGCCAACCUACCUCCGUG